Molecule: ribosomal RNA, 206 nt
Filed under: uncultured bacterium
Lineage: Bacteria
Description: partial 16S ribosomal RNA
Rfam family: Bacterial small subunit ribosomal RNA
Source: RNAcentral
UAAUACAGAGGGUGCGAGCGUUGUCCGGAAUUACUGGGCGUAAAGGGCGCGUAGGCGGCCGGGUAAGUCGGGGGUGAAAGUCAGCGGCUCAACCGCUGGACUGCCUUCGAGACUGCCUGGCUUGAGCAUGGUAGAGGCUGGCGGAAUUCCCGGUGUAGCGGUGGAAUGCGUAGAGAUCGGGAAGAACAUCAGUGGCGAAGGCGGCC